CAAUAGCGUAUAUUUAAGUUGCUGCAGUUAAAAAGCUCGUAGUUGGAUUUCGGGUGGGAAUGGCCGGUCCGCCGUUUCGGUGUGCACUUGCUACGCCCACCUUGCUGCCGGGGACGUGCUCUUGAGUUCACGCUCGGGACACGGAGUCGGAGAGGUUACUUUGAGUAAAUUAGAGUGUUCAAAGCAGGCCUACGCUCUGAAUACAUUAGCAUGGAAUAACACGAUAGGACUCUGGCCUAUCUUGUUGGUCUGUAGGACCGGAGUAAUGAUUAAGAGGGACAGUCGGGGGCAUUCGUAUUUCAUUGUCAGAGGUGAAAUUCUUGGAUUUAUGAAAGACGAACUACUGCGAAAGCAUUUGCCAAGGAUGUUUUCAUUAA
Molecule: ribosomal RNA, 377 nt
Filed under: uncultured eukaryote
Lineage: Eukaryota
Description: partial 18S ribosomal RNA
Rfam family: Eukaryotic small subunit ribosomal RNA
Source: RNAcentral